Molecule: ribosomal RNA, 253 nt
Filed under: uncultured bacterium
Lineage: Bacteria
Description: partial 16S ribosomal RNA
Rfam family: Bacterial small subunit ribosomal RNA
Source: RNAcentral
UACGUAGGGGGCUAGCGUUGUCUGGAAUCAUUGGGCGUAAAGAGCGUGUAGGCGGCCCGGUAAGUCCGCUGUGAAAGUCGGGGGCUCAACCCUCGAAUGCCGGUGGAUACUGUCGGGCUAGAGUGCGGAAGAGGCGAGUGGAAUUCCUGGUGUAGCGGUGAAAUGCGCAGAUAUCAGGAGGAACACCGAUUGCGAAGGCAGCUCGCUGGGACGUAACUGACGCUGAGACGCGAAAGCGUGGGGAGCAAACAGG